UACAGGGGGGGCAAGCGUUGUUCGGAAUUACUGGGCGUAAAGGGCUCGUAGGCGGUCAACUAAGUCCGACGUGAAAUCCCAAGGCUUAACUUUGGAACUGCGUCGGAUACUGGAUGGCUUGAAUUCGGGAGAGGGAUGCAGAAUUCCAGGUGUAGCGGUGAAAUGCGUAGAUAUCUGGAGGAACACCGGUGGCGAAGGCGGCAUCCUGGACCGAGAUCGACGCUGAGGCGCGAAAGCUAGGGGAGCAAACGGG
RNAcentral lists this ribosomal RNA (253 nucleotides) under uncultured bacterium. Its description in RNAcentral is "partial 16S ribosomal RNA". It matches the Rfam family "Bacterial small subunit ribosomal RNA", at positions 524 to 776 of the family's 1533-position model. The record is from RNAcentral.